AGCGAACGCUGGCGGCAGGCCUAACACAUGCAAGUCGAACGAACUCUUCGGAGUUAGUGGCGGACGGGUGAGUAACACGUGGGAACGUGCCUUUAGGUUCGGAAUAACUCAGGGAAACUUGUGCUAAUACCGAAUGUGCCCUUCGGGGAAAGAUUUAUCGCCUUUAGAGCGGCCCGCGUCUGGAUUAGGCUAGUUGGUGAGGUAAAGGCUCACCAAGGCUACGAUCAGUAGCUGGUCUGAGAGGAUGACCAGCCACAUUGGGACUGAGACACGGGCCCAAACUCCUACGGGAGGCAGCAGUGGGGAAUCUUGCGCAAUGGGCGAAAGCCUGACGCAGCCAUGCCGCGUGGAUGAUGAAGGUCUUAGGAUUGUAAAAUCCUUUCACCGGUGAAGAUAAUGACUGUAGCCGGAGAAGAGCCCCGGCUAACUUCGUGCCAGCAGUCCGCGGUAAAGUAUCGUACG
RNAcentral lists this ribosomal RNA (462 nucleotides) under uncultured bacterium. RNAcentral describes it as "bacterial SSU rRNA". It matches the Rfam family "Bacterial small subunit ribosomal RNA", at positions 29 to 531 of the family's 1533-position model. The record is from RNAcentral.